This 202-nucleotide ribosomal RNA is filed under the name Clostridioides difficile. RNAcentral's name for it is "partial 16S ribosomal RNA". It matches the Rfam family "Bacterial small subunit ribosomal RNA", at positions 768 to 970 of the family's 1533-position model. Lineage: Bacteria; Bacillati; Bacillota; Clostridia; Peptostreptococcales; Peptostreptococcaceae. The record is from RNAcentral.
GCAAACAGGAUUAGAUACCCUGGUAGUCCACGCUGUAAACGAUGAGUACUAGGUGUCGGGGGUUACCCCCCUCGGUGCCGCAGCUAACGCAUUAAGUACUCCGCCUGGGAAGUACGCUCGCAAGCGUGAAACUCAAAGGAAUUGACGGGGAUCCGCACAAGUAGCGGAGCAUGUGGUUUAAUUCGAAGCAACGCGAAGAACC